AUGUUGUAUGAAAGAAAAGAAGGUUAGCACUCUCCUUGAUAGGGAUGGAAGAGGUCCUAAUGGCCUUUACAACACAUAUAUGGCUAAGGAAUUGCCACCUAAUCUGUGUCAUCUAACCAUCGUACAAC
Molecule: non-coding RNA, 128 nt
Filed under: Notamacropus eugenii (tammar wallaby)
Lineage: Eukaryota; Metazoa; Chordata; Mammalia; Diprotodontia; Macropodidae
Source: RNAcentral